Molecule: long non-coding RNA, 393 nt
Filed under: Carica papaya (papaya)
Lineage: Eukaryota; Viridiplantae; Streptophyta; Magnoliopsida; Brassicales; Caricaceae
Description: long non-coding RNA (CPAP_LNC011807)
Source: RNAcentral
GAUAGUAUUUUUAAAAGAAAAAUUAGAAACAGUAUGUCAAAAUACAAAAAGAAAAAAUUCAACCAUGUAGAACGACAUAGUCAGCAGCUUUAACGAAGCAGAGCACGCCGUGUGGCAAGACAUGAUGACAUUGGUGCCACGCGGGCAAUCCACAUGCCAAGUGAUCGGACAACCCAGGAACGAUCCUGCGUGCGUGGACGGCUCAAAUUCGUUCCCUCCUUAGAUGUGAUAAGACGAACGAAAUCAAUCACGAUAAAUGGUUCAGAUUCGUUUCCUCAUUAGGCGCGAUUGGACGUACAAGAUCAAUCGUGAUGAAUAGGCCAAAUCAAUGCGGGAUGGGUAUAAAUACUUCGUGUCGCAUGGGAACCCAAAACCCUAGCCACCAGCCCCUGU